UAGGACCAGACUAGAAGAGGUAAAAGCAUUUUCAAACUUACCCCUGCACAGAAUAGGUAAUUCCAAUGUCUAAUUCCUACUGAUUUUGGCACUAUAUUUUUAUAAGCAAAAAGUUGAAGUAGAAAUGAAAAGAACUCAAUAUAUUUAUCAUGAAAUUCUGCAGUCAAAAGUGACUUUGAUGCUUCUGUUCCUGUUUCAUUAAGCUCCUCAUGGGCAGCAUAAUCCUGAUAAUUUCAAUUCCCUAGAAGAAUAUUCUCUAUUUCAUUUGCUUCUAAAAGACCAAAUUAUUAACCAUGUCAUAUUGUAAAAUUGCCAUCUAAAGACUUCAUGAUGUGCUAAGUAAAAGGAAAUUGCCAGGGGCUGUAAGCUUUGGGUCAAAGGACAGUUGUUUGUAGCUCAUUAGUAUGAUGUGGUGAAAUCUGAAAUUAUAUUAAAUGUUUGUUUAAGAUGUAAUUAGUGAAGAAUUUAUGCAUUUUCAAGUAUUCCAUGCAGAUCUGUAGUCUCAUAUCAACAGUGGCAGAAGUGCUUUCUUGGGUGCAUUAUUUGCCUCAUCCAGAAGGAGAAAACAAUUCAUAAGCCAAAAUAUAUUGCUCAGCAUGCUUGCUUCUUUUUUCCUUUUGCUAUUUCUCUCUUUACUCAGCUGUGCAACCCUGACUGCCAAGAUACGAUUUUACAGGAGAGCUCAGUUCAGUUUGUCCUGUUUCCAUUCUGCCUUUUGAUGCCUGAAGAAAAUUCAAAUACAGCCUGAAUUACCCUCCCAACUUUGGGCCAUGUAGGUCAGGAGCUGGCUUCCAUGCUGCUGUGUCACUGAGCAGCUCAGAGGUUCUUUCUUAGGUGUCCAGGCUAAAGGCUGGAUGAUCUCUUUGCCCAGUCUAGUAAGAAGGAGAAUAAAGUCUCCACACUAGUUUUGAUGUCAGGGAAUGAGGCAUGAAACAGGAGAUUGCACUUUUCCCUUGGGAAGUUGGACUUAACACCCAUCUGUCCCCAAACACACAUCACCUGAGCUGCAAGCUCAAUUUAGUGGUUCACCCACCAGCAGAGCUCUGAGCAACCCCUCCUUCCUCCCUUUAAAGCAAACUCUGGGAGCUCCCCUUCACACCUAACAGCAGAACUCCUCUUUGAUGUGUCAGGUGGAAAGGAUUAAGAUCCAUUUUCCACCAACACACCAAAAGGAAAAAGAGCUUGGCAAAUAGCCUGGUGAAUACGAUCAGUGAGCUCUCCCUAAAGGCAGAAUGGCAAGGGAAGUGUCCCCAGAUGGCCUCUGUGUGAGCAGUGGCAGAAGAAAUCAACCUCUCCAGGCUGUCAGAGCAAUGACCUACAGCUUCCCAUUUAGAGGACUGAGCUGUGUUAGUGGCAGACAACAUAAUCCAGGGGCAAGGAGACAGGUACUCCAGAUGAAAGGUACCACACUUCAUGCCCUGUGAAAAUCCAAAUGGAGUAUUUGAAGUGCAGUGGAAGCACAGCUGAACUGACACAGAAAGAUUAGUAAUGCAGGAAAUC
Molecule: long non-coding RNA, 1500 nt
Organism: Passer domesticus (house sparrow)
Lineage: Eukaryota; Metazoa; Chordata; Aves; Passeriformes; Passeridae
Exons: 3
Source: RefSeq, a predicted model, not a curated record